GUCUACGGCCAUAGCAUCCUGAACGCGCCGGAUCUCGUCUGAUCCCUGAAGCUAAGCAGGGUUAGUAAUUGAUGGGAGACUGCCUAGGAGUACCGGGUGCUGUAGGCU
This 108-nucleotide ribosomal RNA is filed under the name Mus pahari (shrew mouse). Lineage: Eukaryota; Metazoa; Chordata; Mammalia; Rodentia; Muridae. The record is from RNAcentral.